UGGGGAAUUUUGGACAAUGGGCGCAAGCCUGAUCCAGCCAUGCCGCGUGCGGGAAGAAGGCCUUCGGGUUGUAAACCGCUUUUGUCAGGGAAGAAAUCUUCUGAGUUAAUACCUCGGGAGGAUGACGGUACCUGAAGAAUAAGCACCGGCUAACUACGUGCCAGCAGCCGCGGUAAUACGUAGGGUGCAAGCGUUAAUCGGAAUUACUGGGCGUAAAGCGUGCGCAGGCGGUUUUGUAAGACAGAGGUGAAAUCCCCGGGCUCAACCUGGGAACUGCCUUUGUGACUGCAAGGCUUGAGUGCGGCAGAGGGGGAUGGAAUUCCGCGUGUAGCAAUGAAAUGCGUAGAUAUGCGGAGGAACACCGAUGGCGAAGGCAAUCCCCUGGGCCUGCACUGACGCUCAUGCACGAAAGCGUGGGGAGCAAACAGGAUUAGAUACCCUGGUAGUCCACGCCCUAAGCGAUGUCAACUGGUUGUUGGGAAGGUUCCUUCUCAGUAACGUAGCUAACGCGUGAAGUUGACCGCCUGGGGAGUACGGCCGCAAGGUUGAAACUCAAA
Molecule: ribosomal RNA, 557 nt
Filed under: uncultured bacterium
Lineage: Bacteria
Description: partial 16S ribosomal RNA
Rfam family: Bacterial small subunit ribosomal RNA
Source: RNAcentral